This is a long non-coding RNA of Loxodonta africana (African savanna elephant), 3449 nucleotides long. RefSeq lists it as uncharacterized. The transcript has 2 exons. The record is from RefSeq and is a predicted model, not a curated record. NCBI's taxonomy places the organism in Eukaryota, Metazoa, Chordata, Mammalia, Proboscidea, Elephantidae.
UUGUGGAGAAAUCUAGAGAAAAUAUUCCCAAUAUAAACAUUACCACAUGAAGGGGAAGUACAAAAGCAAAAAAUUCAGAUGUAGUUCUUGGUAAUAUCAAGUCCCUACUUUGCGUAAUAUUAUAUAAUAUUUGAGUAAUAUGUGACAGUGAGAGCCAUUGAAAAGGCAUGGGGUGAGGACCUUCAUUCAGUGUUUCAGCCCCAUUUUCUCAGUCUCUUAGAACUUGUGGAAAGAUAGCUUCAGGGGCCAAUGCUGAAGGCCUUUUUUCUAAGAUGCAAAGAGGAGAUUCUUUGAAUGAAAAUAUCUUCUAUGUUCAGCAAGGAAAUUUGAAGGCCAGUUUGUAUGCUGUUCCAGAGAGCUCCAGUAUACAAGAAGGCCUUGGUGGUAUCUCAGGGGCUGCCUUUGAAAUUUCUGUGCUGGGAGAGGGGUGUGAGGAUCCCUUUUGGUUCAGGCUAUGUACCUGCGGUCAAGGGUCAGCAAAGUCAUCUCAGGAAACAGGAUCAUAGCAGCAGCAGCAGCAGCAGCAGCAGCAUGAACUGGACAUGAAAGAAGGGGUCAGCUGCUGCUUGUUAAAGUGGGAGGGCACCUCUAUGGCAGAAGACUUUCUGCCUCUAAUACAAUGAGAAUCAAAGUGUGUCUGUAUUAAUUACCCUUACUAUAUAAGUGGGAGGCAGCCAGUGUGGUUGGAAGGGAGAUGAGAAGACAGAGAGAUGGAGUGGUGUGGUUUGUAGGGAAUGUUACCCAGGUAGUGGCCCUGGUUUUAGGAGGGGGCCAGGGCAGGCCCCUUCCCUUCUCAUUGUGUAAACACUGCUUUGUUCUUCCUUUCCAUUGGCUAGAGAUUCAGAAAGUACUCAGGAUAAGGAGUCAUAUUGAGAAAGGAGUGGAAGGGUAGGUUGGCGAGGUGGGGAGAAGCCUGACUCUGGAGGGCUUUGAAUGCCAGAAAAGGUGAUUAGCCUUGAUCCCUGGGGACAGUGAGUUUCUGAGAACCUUUGAACAUGGAGGGGUAUUAGGCAUACUUUCCCAGAUCAGUCUGGGGCUGUGGGUAGGGUGAGCUGGAGGGAGGAAGACCAGAGACAGGGAGAUUGCAGAGAUCUGUGAGGUGAGUAGGGCUGGAUUUAUGAACAGGAAAAGGAGGAGUAAAUCAAAAUACACAGAGAGCUAGGAUGGGGCAAAACAGGGUUUUAAAUCUGCCUCGGUUCUAGCUCACUCGGGGAUUCCUAUCAGUAAUACUGGCUUACUCUGGUGAGGAUUUGCAAUUGGAUGUAGAUAUUUUCAUCCUGGGGUUGGUGGUUUUUUACCCUGGUUGCAUGUUGGAAAUACAUGGGAACUUUUAGAAAAUACUCAUUUCUACCUCCGUGCUUCUGACGUAAUUGGUCUGGGGUGUUAUAGUAAUCAGGGGUCAAUUGGAGAAGAAUACCUGUAUAUAAUGGGAUUUUUUUAUGUGGGGAUUUGAUCUUAUGCAAUUGUGGGAGCUGGUAAAGCAGCCUCUAUAAGGUACUGUCUUUGUGUCUGAUGCUGGAGCUUGAUGUUCACGUGGCAGGUAGUCAGGAAGGGAAGAUGGAUACAAAGGGGGGAGAGCAGGAACAAGCUGGGACCCACAGGAUGGAAUGAAGCCCUAGGCAGUUCUUAUUGUCUCUGACCUUGAUGGUUACUGGCGUCCUGCAGAAGCCAGGCCCUUCAUCACAGAGCUAAACACAAACUCCUGGCUCAGGAGUCAGAGAAGCUGAAGGAGGAUCCAGGGGAAGGUGGAUCUGGGCAAGAAGAUGAGUCAGCAGAUAAGCAACAACCAAAUGCUGCUGCUUCACUUCCGCCCUCCUGUCUCCCCCAGACUCUCUCUUGUGGCCUGCCCAAACCAGAAAGGGAAUUCUGGGAAAUGUUCAACCGAGCCAAGUUGACACAAUACAAAGCCACCACAAGUGGGGGGGGCCUGGGCAUUGUAGUUUUUAAAAGCUCCCCGCCCCCCACGUGAUUUUGGGGCAGUGGUUGAGAACACAGGCUAAUGUGAUUCCGAUGUAGAGGUUGGUAGAGCCCACAGGUGAUUCUAGAAUGCUCCCCAGCCUCUCUUGAGAAGUGCCAUAAUGGGAAGAAAUGAGGGAGGGAUCAAGUACCACAGAGAAUACCGAAUUGUUGAAGCUGGGAGCUGUGUUGCAAGAGGGUAAGGAGGAAAUAAGUGAUGAAGCAAUGGAAACCAUGGACUAGACCGUGCUUUUGAGAAGUGUGUUGGUAUAGGCAAAAAAAUAGGGCACCUGGGGUGUUAGCUGGAUCAACCAGGACGUUCUCAAGUCCUGGGGAGAUGCAGGGCUGACUUCCUCCCCCUCUGAGCAUCUUCAGCCUCUUGCUUGUUCCCUCUGUUCCAGUCCUCAGGAUUCCACAGCCUGCCUGGUCUCAAAGAGCCCUGCAUUGUCUUCCGUCCGUCAUAUUGAGAAUCCAAGGAAUGCAGGCAGUGUCCGUGUCUGUGCACAGCUACCGUGUCUGCAGAGUAUUGCAUAGACAGGAUUCAUUCUAAGGUUUUUGAGUUGAGUUAAAGUGAGAGGAGAAGGGAUUAGCAGAUAAGAAUAACUGAAACUCUUGGAGAAGAAAGGAAAGAGGUGGAAACAGAAUUCCCUUAGAAUUUGGGAAGCGUAAAGUACAGUUCCGAUGGCUGUUUGACAGCUCCAGAGGAAAAAAUGAUCAAGUCAUUUGGUUCGCGUGCAUUUCACAAAUCUGAGAUAUAAGUUUAUUAUUAUUUUCACAGAUGUCUUGUUUCAUACUAGUAAUGGUAACAUUCUCAUUGGUAGCGUAUGUACUGACUCUGCUGCUAUUUUUUGAGUGUCUCAGGACCGUUAGCUCAUCUGUGUGUUAACAAUCAAAAAACUGGGUGCAGUUUACUCCUUAUCUUCAUGCCGUUUGCAUGUGCUCUGCUCAAUUUGCAUUCUUUGUUACUAUUGUGCCACCUUCUAGCCUCAAUUCAUAAAAAUGAAUCAUUGGUUCAAAAGUGGUUUAUUGAAACUUGCAGAGAUGAAAAUGGUGGCAUGGAAGACCUUGACUCAGAAAAACUUUACAAAGCUAAAAAAGAACAGGCUACCAUGCAAAUAUGGGACAUAAAUCUGCGUGUACUGGGACAAAUAAAUCUGAGAAUGUAAGCAGCCAAAACUGGAAAGAGGGAAUUGGAUGCAGGAUGGUGAACAUCAGAAAAUUUAUAUUUAGGAGACUAAAAAUCCAUCAGCCCUUACUUCAUCAGGCUUUUUUUUUUUUUUUUUGGCUGUGAGACUUGGUUAAACAGUAACAUGAAGCUCUUCGAUCACUUUCUAACAAAACACGGUGACCUCUCUGGCAAACCAAUUGAGUUUUCCCAGAACAAGUGCAGAGUAAUGCUUUCCAGUCUGCUAUGUUGAAUGAUGUUGUCAACGAAGUCAGAAGAGACCAACACAGAGGCUUAUCCAAACUUGUACUCCUCACAGCUCAAACUA